This 240-nucleotide long non-coding RNA is filed under the name Capsella rubella. Its description in RNAcentral is "long non-coding RNA (CRUB_LNC001120)". Lineage: Eukaryota; Viridiplantae; Streptophyta; Magnoliopsida; Brassicales; Brassicaceae. The record is from RNAcentral.
CGGGUGAGUUUUAUUCUUAUUAUUAUUUUUUUUUUUUUGGCUUCAACUCUCUUGUACUUAAAGACAGAAGCUUUGAUUGGUUUGGAGCUCACAAAUAAAAGAAGAACAUAUAUCUCCGUUACAAAAAUGCUGCAAUUGUUUCCUUUGUAAUUAUGCUAUUUAUGCAUGUCAAUAAUAUGAUUUUUGAAGAAAAAAAUCAAUAAGUAAUAUCAUGCCAACAACAUUGCAUUACAAAAAAAA